RNAcentral lists this ribosomal RNA (497 nucleotides) under uncultured bacterium. Its description in RNAcentral is "partial 16S ribosomal RNA". It matches the Rfam family "Bacterial small subunit ribosomal RNA", at positions 28 to 507 of the family's 1533-position model. The record is from RNAcentral.
GAUGAACGCUGGCGGCGUGCCUAAUACAUGCAGGUCGAGCGAACAGACGAGGAGCUUGCUCCUCUGACGUUAGCGGCGGACGGGUGAGUAACACGUGGAUAACCUACCUAUAAGACUGGGAUAACUUCGGGAAACCGGAGCUAAUACCGGAUAAUAUAUUGAACCGCAUGGUUCAAUAGUGAAAGACGGUUUUGCUGUCACUUAUAGAUGGAUCCGCGCCGCAUUAGCUAGUUGGUAAGGUAACGGCUUACCAAGGCAACGAUGCGUAGCCGACCUGAGAGGGUGACCGGCCACACUGGAACUGAGACACGGUCCAGACUCCUACGGGAGGCAGCAGUAGGGAAUCUUCCGCAAUGGGCGAAAGCUUGACGGAGCAACGCCGCGUGAGUGAUGAAGGUCUUCGGAUCGUAAAACUCUGUUAUUAGGGAAGAACAAAUGUGUAAGUAACUAUGCACGUCUUGACGGUACCUAAUCAGAAAGCCACGGCUAACUACGUG